RNAcentral lists this ribosomal RNA (993 nucleotides) under Atrocalopteryx atrata. RNAcentral's name for it is "SSU rRNA". It matches the Rfam family "Eukaryotic small subunit ribosomal RNA", at positions 44 to 998 of the family's 1831-position model. The record is from RNAcentral. Lineage: Eukaryota; Metazoa; Arthropoda; Insecta; Odonata; Calopterygidae.
AUUAGCCAUGCAUGUCUCAGUACUAACCGCUUUAAGGCGAAACCGCGAAUGGCUCAUUAAAUCAGUUAUGGUUCCUUGGAUCUUACCCACACUUACAUGGAUAACUGUGGUAAUUCUAGAGCUAAUACAUGAACCUCGUACCCCGACCAGUGAUGGAAGGGGUGCUUUUAUUAGAACAAAACCAAUCGGUCGGUCUUCCGUCCGUUGCCUUGGUGACUCUGAAUAACUUUUGGCUGAUCGCACGGUCGUUGCACCGGCGACGCAUCUUUCAAAUGUCUGCCUUAUCAACUUUCGAUGGUAGGUUCUGCGCCUACCAUGGUUGUAACGGGUGACGGGGAAUCAGGGUUCGAUCCCGGAGAGGGAGCCUGAGAAACGGCUACCACAUCCAAGGAAGGCAGCAGGCGCGCAAAUUACCCACUCCCGGAACGGGGAGGUAGUGACGAAAAAUAACGAUACGGGACUCAUCCGAGGCCCCGUAAUCGGAAUGAGAACACUUUAAAUCCUUUAACGAGGAUCUAUUGGAGGGCAAGUCUGGUGCCAGCAGCCGCGGUAAUUCCAGCUCCAAUAGCGUAUAUUAAAGUUGUUGCGGUUAAAAAGCUCGUAGUCGGAGGUGUGUCUCGGACGGUCGGUUCGCCGCUUGUCGGUGCUCAACUGGCCGGUCCGGACGUCCUGCCGGUGGGGCCGCGAGGCUCCGUUAUCCUUCUUUGGUCCUCUUCACCGAGUGCCUUGGUGGGCCGGCACGUUUACUUUGAACAAAUUAGAGUGCUCAAAGCAGGCCGUUGGUCGCCUGAAUACUGUGUGCAUGGAAUAAUGGAAUAGGACCUCGGUUCCAUUUUGUUGGUUUUCAGAACUCGAGGUAAUGAUUAAUAGGGACGGACGGGGGCAUUCGUAUUGCGACGUUAGAGGUGAAAUUCUUGGAUCGUCGCAAGACGAACCGAUGCGAAAGCAUUUGCCAAGAACGUUUUCGUUGAUCAAGAACGAAAGUUAGAGGUU